UCCGGUUGAUCCUGCCGGACCUGACUGCUAUCGGAUUGGUACUAAGCCAUGCGAGUCAUUGUAGCAAUACAAGGCGGACGGCUCAGUAACACGUAGUCAACCUAACUCGUGGACGUGGAUAACCUCGGGAAACUGAGAAUAAACCACGAUAGAUCAUAGUGCCUGGAAUGGCUUAUGGUCCAAACAGUUUACUGCCAUGGGAUGGGACUGCGGCCUAUCAGCUUGUUGGUGAGGUAAUGGCCCACCAAGGCGAUUACAGGUACGGGCUCUGAGAGGAGAAGCCCGGAGAUGGGUACUGAGACACGGACCCAGGCCCUAUGGGGCGCAGCAGGCGAGAAACCUUAGCAAUGUGCGAAAGCACGACUGGGUCAGUCCGAGUGAUUCCUGAUAAAGGAGUCUUUUGCUUGUCCUAAACGCACAGGUGAAUAAGGGGUGGGCAAGUCUGGUGUCAGCCGCCGCGGUAAUACCAGCACCUCGAGUGGUCAGGACGUUUAUUGGGCCUAAAGCAUCCGUAGCCGGCUUUGCAAGUCUUCGGUUAAAUCCACCUGCUCAACAGAUGGGCCGCUGGAGAUACUACAAAGCUAGGGAGUGGGAGAGGCAGACGGUAUUCAGUGGGUAGGGGUAAAAUCCUCUGAUCCAUUGAGGACCACCAGUGGCGAAGGCGGUCUGCCAGAACACGUUCGACGGUGAGGGAUGAAAGCUGGGGGAGCAAACCGGAUUAGAUACCCGGGUAGUCCCAGCUGUAAACGAUGCAAACUCGGUGAUGCAUUGGCUUAUGGCCAAUGCAGUGCCGCACGGAAGCCGUUAAGUUUGCCGCCUGGGAAGUACGGACGCAAGUCUGAACUUAAAGGAAUUGGCGGGGGAGCACCACAGGGUGAAGCCUGCGGUUCAAUUGGACUCAACGCCGGA
This 909-nucleotide ribosomal RNA is filed under the name uncultured archaeon. RNAcentral describes it as "bacterial SSU rRNA". It matches the Rfam family "Archaeal small subunit ribosomal RNA", at positions 1 to 922 of the family's 1478-position model. The record is from RNAcentral.